This is a long non-coding RNA of Mauremys reevesii (Reeves's turtle), 2389 nucleotides long. RefSeq lists it as uncharacterized. Lineage: Eukaryota; Metazoa; Chordata; Testudines; Geoemydidae. The transcript is spliced from 3 exons. The record is from RefSeq and is a predicted model, not a curated record.
GGAGGAAGCCCUGGGGGUAUAGCCUGAAGGCAGAGCUGAGACUGCUUUAAAGACUGGACAUGCAUAACCAUGGAGGGUGCUCAUGAGAGUGAUCAGAUGACCUCCAUUUGCAGUCACAGAUUAAAGCAGCUGUUCCAGAAUCUUGACAAAUCCAAUAUUUGGGACAGAUCCCUGGAUGAUAGUGAAUAAGGCAUGAAGCUUUUGGAGACUAAAUGCUGUAAUUACCAAGAAAUGUAUGUUAAACAUGAGCAAGAAGGAAAUACCUUGAAUGCAAGGGAUGAAGACUAACCACAUGUUCACAGCUGGAGUCUGUAAAAAUCCUCUUCAGUAUGAGCUGCAUCCAACUCCCACUGAAGUUAAUGGAAUAUGUAACACUGAUUUAGAUGGGAGUUGCAUCAAGCCCAAAGAGACUUUUUUUUUUGAAGUGCUCUCCAUUGCACCAGAUUUUUCAAAAGAUCUCCUAGUUAGGCACCUACCUAAAGACUAGAUUUUUUUUCCAAAGAGCUCAACAACAACUUGAGUGUGCAUAAUGAGUUAUUUUGACAGGGGACACCAGGAAUAGGUUGAAUGGAAAUUCACUGUUCUUACAAAAUGCUGAUAAACUUGUGGUUAGGCCUUGUGUGUGGGGCCCAAGAUACGGGAAGGUUUUUUGUUAUCCUCUCCCACUCUGCACAUUGAUGCAAGGGCUCUUCGCCACCUGGAUGCUUAACCCCCUGUGCCUCAGUUUACCUCAUAUGGCUGUUGGGAGGCUGAAUUGAAAUUGUGAAGUUUUGGAGGCUCCUUUGAUAUAAAGCAUUCUCUACAUAGUAGGAUCUCUCUCUCUGUUCUGGGUUCCUAGAUAGUUAUGCUUUAGGACUCCUCACACUGGAGGGAGGGGGGGCAGAUGGUGUCAGUUAUCCAUAUGCUGGAAAUGAAUAAAAGCAACUCUGCAUGAGCUAUCUCUCUCAGAGCAGCAGCUGACAGGAGGCUGGCCUGAGGGUAUCCGGAUGAUGAUUCAGGAACAGCAGGUUUACUUGCCUCUCCUGUGGUGUAAUUAGGUACUGGAAGGAAAAGCGAAGGCCAAUUGUUAUGCUCUGGAGCUGAGCUAAGGCACCAUCAGCUUAUGUUGCUGACUCACUACUCUCCAAGGUCCAAAGAAUACUGCCUUCCAAACUUCAGAAUAGGACCAGAGAGACUGCUCCAAAAUCAGAGCUCUGUAAGCAGGUGCACUUCCCAAGGCACACCUGCUGAGUCUCUCAUCUGGAGAGAUCAUCUGAUGUCUCACUGUCAGUCGCUGCAACUCCUCCUCUCCAUACUGUGGGCUGCUGACCAGGAAGCCAAGAUUGCCCCCUCACUCUCCCUUUCUCAUUGCUCCCUCUGCGGGAUUCCUUGCUCCACACUGUGUGCAGCAGGUGGUGAUGAAGAGACAGCCAACCAGUGCUGCUUCCUCCCUCUUGGCCAUGAGCUGCAGGAGCUAUAGAUGUGGUGAUAUGCAUGCACAGGCAGUGGAAAUAAAAUCUGGUGGGACAGUGUUGUGGGAGAGAGAGACAAUCUGGGAUGGACAAACUGGACAGAAAGAAAUGCAGAUGGACUGAACCAGUAGGUACAACUGAGAAGCAGGUAGAGAGCCCUUUAAUUCUGUGCCCUAGUUCUGGUCAGCUGAGGACACUAAUGAAGUAUUGAAAACACAUUCAACUCCCUCCUUGAGUCAGGCCACCAGGCUGCUCAGGUAUCUGAAACUUGGCUGACAGCAAAACAGCAGGAUAUUCAAUCCACUGGAAGGUGAGGAGGUGAAGCAGAACAGCUGUUCCCUGUAAGUGCAUGGCAGCUGUGAUUUCCUCUUGAACUGGCUUAGCAGGAAACCAUUUAAAGUGGGAUGUAGCCUGCAGGCUGCUGGUCUACUUCCUUGGGGAGGAAAGAUCUGCAACCAGAUAAGGGGUUGUGCUGGGCACUUUGUACUUUCAGUGUAGCUCUGUUGCCUCCAAGGACCAGAUUUUCAGUUGGUGGCAUCCAUUCAUUGAAGUUUCUAGAGAAACAUCACCUUACCCCAGCUGAGGACUUUUUUCCUUCCCCCAUGAAGAAUUCUUCACUUUUCUUGAGAUUUACACACACAAUUCAGCAUGGAAUCUCACUGCAUUAAGCAUACUGGCUUCUGCUAUCUCUGCUGUUCCUAUUGAAGGAUUAUCUAGUGACGAACUGUAUCAUAGCAAAGAGGUGCUUUUCUAUCACUCAAAGGCCCCCUGAAAUCUGAGCUGCUAACCCCUCCCCCCCCAAAUAGUAGGGGAAUUUCUAAACCAUCACAAAUACCCAAAGUAAGGUAGGAGAAGAUGGAACAGUGAGGUCAGCAUAGUGCUGAAACAGUUUUCUACCAGAGUGUUUCCUAUAGCGUUUUACUCAAGUUAUGCCUAUU